Molecule: long non-coding RNA, 355 nt
Organism: Gavialis gangeticus (Gharial)
Lineage: Eukaryota; Metazoa; Chordata; Crocodylia; Gavialidae
Exons: 3
Source: RefSeq, a predicted model, not a curated record
UGCCCUUCCCCCUCCUCCAGCCUCACUGCGCAUGCUGUCAGCUGGAGGAGGCAAAGAAAGAAAACAAGAGAGAGAGAUAGAGGAGCUGGAGGGAAGGGGAGGCUGAGGAGGAGCAGGCUGCAGUGAUAGAAGGAACAUAAGGAAGGAGAUGUUUAUGCCCUUUGAGGAAAAAGGAGAAAUCUGCCACAGUUCCUACAGCAAGACUCAUGGCAGUAAGAGGAACAGUAGAGGGAGAACUCAGGAUUUGUUUGUAUAAGUUCAUCUCUUUCCCCCAAUGCACAUUCAUGCAAGAGUGCCAUGGCAGAGGUUAAGGUGUCUUGCUACAGCUCCUGUGGGAACAGGGCAGAUUUUCUAC